UAGCCCAUAUAUUAGUUGAGAAACAACUUGAAGCUGGUCAUUUAGAGCUUACACUUAGCUCUUGGAACACACCCAUCUUUGUAAUUAGGAAAAAAUCUGGUAACUGGUGAUUAUUACAAGACCUAAGUUCUAUUAAUUGUGUUAUAGAGCCCAUUGGAGCAUUACAAUCUGGGCUUCUUCCUCAUACAGCUAUUGCUUUAGAUUAUUAUUUGAUAAUAAUAGAUCUGAAAGAUUGCUUCUUCUGUGUACCUUUGCACCAAGAUGACUGUAAAAGGUUUGUGUUUAG
This 286-nucleotide small RNA is filed under the name Marmota monax (woodchuck). The record is from RNAcentral. Lineage: Eukaryota; Metazoa; Chordata; Mammalia; Rodentia; Sciuridae.